This 301-nucleotide ribosomal RNA is filed under the name uncultured bacterium. Its description in RNAcentral is "partial 16S ribosomal RNA". It matches the Rfam family "Bacterial small subunit ribosomal RNA", at positions 509 to 807 of the family's 1533-position model. The record is from RNAcentral.
CAGCAGCCGCGGGAAUACGAAGGGUGCAAGCGUUAAUCGGAAUUACUGGGCGUAAAGUGUGCGUAGGCGGUGAGUUAAGUCUGCUGUGAAAUCCCCGGGCUCAACCUGGGAAUGGCAGUGGAUACUGGCUCGCUAGAGUGUGUCAGAGGAUGGUGGAAUUCCCGGUGUAGCGGUGAAAUGCGUAGAGAUCGGGAGGAACUUCAGUGGCGAAGGCGGCCAUCUGGGACAACACUGACGCUGAGGCACGAAAGCGUGGGGAGCAAACAGGAUUAGAUACCCGCGUAGUCCCUGUCUCUUAUAC